CACAUGCAAGUCGAGCGGGGAAAAGUAGCUUGCUACUUAACUUAGCGGCGGACGGGUGAGUAAUACUUAGGAAUCUGCCUAUUAGUGGGGGACAACAUUUCGAAAGGAAUGCUAAUACCGCAUACGUCCUACGGGAGAAAGCAGGGGAUCACUUGUGACCUUGCGCUAAUAGAUGAGCCUAGGUCGGAUUAGCUAGUUGGUGGGGGUAAAGGCCUAACAAGGCGGACGAUCUGUAGCGGGUUCUGAGAGGAUGAUCCGCCACACUGGGACUGAGACACGGCCCAGACUCCUACGGGAGGCAGCAGUGGGGAAUAUUGGACAAUGGGGGGAACCCUGAUCCAGCCAUGCCCGCGUGUGUGAAGAAGGCCUUUUGGUUGUAAAGCACUUUAAGCGAGGAGGAGGCUACUCUAGUUAAUACCUAGGGAUAGUGGACGUUACUCGCAGAAUAAGCACCGGCUAACUCUGUGCCAGCAGCCGCGGUAAUACAGAGGGUGCGAGCGUUAAUCGGAUUUACUGGGCGUAAAGCGUGCGUAGGUGGCCAAUUAAGUCAAAUGUGAAAUCCCCGAGCUUAACUUGGGAAUUGCAUUCGAUACUGGUUGGCUAGAGUAUGGGAGAGGAUGGUAGAAUUCCAGGUGUAGCGGUGAAAUGCGUAGAGAUCUGGAGGAAUACCGAUGGCGAAGGCAGCCAUCUGGCCUAAUACUGACACUGAGGUACGAAAGCAUGGGGAGCAAACAGGAUUAGAUACCCUGGUAGUCCAUGCCGUAAACGAUGUCUACUAGCCGUUGGGGUCUUUGAGACUUUAGUGGCGCAGCUAACGCGAUAAGUAGACCGCCUGGGGAGUACGGUCGC
This 849-nucleotide ribosomal RNA is filed under the name uncultured Acinetobacter sp. RNAcentral's name for it is "bacterial SSU rRNA". It matches the Rfam family "Bacterial small subunit ribosomal RNA", at positions 52 to 889 of the family's 1533-position model. Lineage: Bacteria; Pseudomonadati; Pseudomonadota; Gammaproteobacteria; Moraxellales; Moraxellaceae. The record is from RNAcentral.